This 432-nucleotide ribosomal RNA is filed under the name uncultured bacterium. RNAcentral describes it as "partial 16S ribosomal RNA". It matches the Rfam family "Bacterial small subunit ribosomal RNA", at positions 28 to 507 of the family's 1533-position model. The record is from RNAcentral.
GAUGAACGCUGGCGGUAUGCUUAACACAUGCAAGUCGAACGGUCACUUCGGUGAUAGUGGCGGACGGGUGAGUAACGCGUGAGAAUCUGUCUUCAGGUCGGGGACAACAGUUAGAAAUGACUGCUAAUACCGGAUGUGCCUUUGGGUGAAAGAUUUAUUGCCUGAAAAGGAGCUCGCGUCAGAUUAGCUAGUAGGUGGUGUAAGAGACUACCUAGGCUCCGAUCUGUAGCUGGUCUGAGAGGACGAUCAGCCACACUGGAACUGAGACACGGUCCAGACUCCUACGGGAGGCAGCAGUGGGGAAUUUUCCGCAAUGGGCGAAAGCCUGACGGAGCAAUACCGCGUGAGGGACGAAGGCUUUUGGGUCGUAAACCUCUUUUCUCAAGGAAGAUGAUGACGGUACUUGAGGAAUAAGCAUCGGCUAACUCUGUG